GCCUGAGUGGCUCAGUUGGUUGAGCAUCUGACUUCAGCUCAGGUCAUGAUCUCAUGGUUCAUGAGUUCGAGCCCCAUGUCAGACU
Felis catus (domestic cat) is the source of this 85-nucleotide transfer RNA. It matches the Rfam family "tRNA". From Rfam's summary of the family: Transfer RNA (tRNA) molecules are approximately 80 nucleotides in length. NCBI's taxonomy places the organism in Eukaryota, Metazoa, Chordata, Mammalia, Carnivora, Felidae. The record is from Rfam.